CUGCAUGCCGCAACUAAGACCUGGCACACCCAAAAUAAAUAAAUAAGUAAAUAAAUAAAUAAAUUUUUUUUAAAAAAGAUGGUCUCUCACCCUACUACAGGGAAAAUAAGAAAAGCCUGAGGGCAUCCCUGUCUUUAAGAUGAUCCCAAUCUAGUUGGGAAGACAAAACUAAACACCAAAACAGAGCGUCUAGAUCUUAUUCCUUAAAUGAUAACCAUGUAAGUUUUAUAAGAGCCAUAGAUAGGAGAGAAUAAAUUCUCAAAUCUGAGUAAGCCCAGAAAUACAUAACAGUAUGUGUGUCAUUGUCUGGGACAUUUUAGCACUUCAUUGUCAAUUCUACUUUAGUUUAUGGUAGUGUUUCUCAAAGUAUGUUCCACAGACCAUCUUGAAACAGAAUCAGUAGGUGCUUGUUAAAAAUACAGAUUCCCAGCCCCACUGUAGACUUCUUUUUAAAGCAGUAAUUAUUCACCCUGGAGUUAAGAACAACAGUUUAGGAUUUAUCAUUAUUGUCCCCCUCUUUGCUACCACAUGUCUCUGAUAAACAGCAAUGUGUCCUACACACCUGUACUUCCUGGACAGGAAAGUCUGUCAGGUCAGGCCAAAGUUGAACCAAAGGAGGAAAGAAAGCGCCCGAAUAGAAAAUGGACCCAUGAAGAGCACCCUAUCCUGGUGGCUCUCUGGCCAUGGUUCCAAAUUCCUUAAGUGGCAAUGUCAGUGAUGGACCUUUAAGACAGAGGAUAGGGGAUACACUGGGAUGUUAUUUCCCACUGGUUCCCAAUAUAGAACAUAUACUCUUAUCCGGCUUCCAGCUCUUGCCAUGCUUACUCUUACCUUUGCUUAUGCUGGCAAACUCAUCCUUCCCCCUUCCUAAUUUUCUGAAUUUUUCUAGUCCUUAGGAGCCCAUUUUCUCUAAGAAGAUCUCUUUUACAUGUCCAGCUCCUACUGAUUUAUCCUUCCUCUGAAUUCCUCUAGCAAUCUGGUCACCACCACGUGGUUCAGCAUUAGCCUAAAAUUUUUUGUGUCUAUGUUGGUUUUAGCUCUCCAGCUGAAUUUUAAUCUUAAAGGCAGAGAGCAUGUCUUAUAGUUUGGUACUCCCCCUCCAUAGCUAGGUAGAGAUAUUCGUACGGGCUUCAUUGACUAAAAUAAAGGCUGGCUCUGUACCUGAGAGGCCACUUGCUCCUGAUGUCUGCUUGUCCGUCUUCAGGUCACUUCUGGGAGGCAAAACCUCCAGUAGGAUACUUAGCUGCUUUACAGACGGACAGAUUUCAUCAAGAAAGUCAGUGCCUUGAGCAGAAUUGAGGCUCCAGUUGCAAGACAGAAGAAAAAGAAGACACUAAGGCCUUAUCAGAACACUGUGUUCCUUUGCUCUAGUCAACCGUUCAGGUUUGUCCAGGGUUAAAAGCCUGAGGGAACUUCACACCAUAAGGUCAGAAAAUGUCUUCAGGGAGGCCACCUUAUAAGUCUGGUCCUGAUGAUGAAAGGUAGGAUUACACAACGAAGGACAGUGUUCCCAGUGGAGACUCCCCACGAUGUUUUCACAUGGACACUUGGGUUUUCACAAGGCAUAUCAGCUCUCCCUCCCUCCUUAUUAUCCAAUCCCAGACACUUCCAGUCCCUAUCUGUGCUAUCCAUAACUGGCAGUCACCAAAGCCUAGCUGCCUCUUACAUGACACCUCCAGCAUCUUUUUUUUAAAAAAAAGCCCUUUCUAAGUCCUAUACACUUCAUAACUAAAUACCUAAAGAAAGUAUAAGGGGACCUUUAUCUGAAGGCCGGGAAAAUAACUUGUUGAGGUAUUGCCCGAUCCUGGGAUUCUAACUUUUUUUUUUUUUUUUUUUUAACGGUACGCGAGCCUCUCACUUCCAUGGCCUCUCCCGUUGCGGAGCACAGGCUCCAGACGCGCAGGCUCAGCGGCCAUGGCUAACGGGCCCAACCGCUCCGCGGCACGUGGUAUCCUCCCGGACCGGGGCACCAACCCGCAUCCCCCAGCAUCGGCAGGCGGACUCUCAACCACUGCGCCACCAGGGAAGCCCCUAACACUUUAUAUUGAUCAGCUUUAAACCUUCUCAUCUCUGACCUCACUCUCCUGCAGGCCUGUGAGAGCGCUCCCGCUUUUUUACCAGGGAUCUCCCACUGUAAGGUCUACCCAGUGAUGGGGGCUUCAUCAGAGACUUUUCCCACCACUACCACCUUCGUAACUCCUGGGAAAAAAGGAGAGAAAACUACAAGGAUUGAUGAUUUUUCUAGUCCUCUGAAACAAGGUACAGAAUAAGUAGAGACACAGAUGAGGACCUAGAGAAGAGGCAGAAAUGGAGCAUCGUGGUCAAAUUUCUGAUUGCAGUCACCUUGUUGUUCAGGGGAAUUGCCAUUAUAGUGUUCAUCAUUUUUGAAGUCCCAUGCCCUGGUCCCUGAAAUUGUAAGAGCUUCAGAGCCCACAACCUACGUCUCCAUCCCUGCCCCUGGGUAACUCUGACAUACAACGGGUAACUCUGACAUACAACACAGUUCAGGAACCACCACACUUGAACACAGCCUGAAUACUUGGCAAAGCACCUUCUUUCUUCCCUGCCCUGGGGUUUCCUGGCAGGAUUAUAAAUCCAUAUUGCACUUUAGUGUGUAAGUCAGACACCACACCACCAGCUCAGCAUGGCUGCUUUAAAUAGUUUUCCCACCAGGAAUGGACUCAGCCUUUGACUACAAGAAAGUGAUGGGUGCCUUCUCUACAUCUAAAAACCCACUGAAACAAAGAGAUGAGGUCUCCAAUACUUUUUUAAAUUAAAGAAGGUGGCCACUUUUGUAGAAUUACAGCACUGAGAAUGGGUCUCAAAGAUUAUAUAGUCCAGGAUGGGACACACUCUUUAGUUCCAUGUCAACCGCACAUAUCAAUAAUCAAGCAGAGGACUUCCCUGGUGGCGCAGUGGUUAAGAAUCCGCCUGCCAAUGGAGGGGACAUGGGUUUAAUCCCUGGUCUUGGAAGAUCCCACAUGCCGCAGAACAGCUAAGCCUGUGCGCCACAACUACUGAGCCUGCGCUCUAGAGCCCGUGAGCCACAACUACUGAGCCCAUGUGCUGCAGCUCCUGAAGCCUACGCACCUAGAGCCAUGCUCCACAACAAGAGAAGCCACCACAAUGAGAAGCCGCGCACCGCAACUAAGAGUAGCCCCCAUUCACCGCAACUAGAGACAGCCCGUGUGCAGCAACGAAGACCCAAUGCAGCCAAAAAAUAAUAAUGAUAAUAAUAAUCAAGCAUAGUGCAACUAGAAGAUGAAUACAUUCCAGAGGUCUAGUGCACAGCAUAGAGAUUAUAUCACCAUAUUGUAUACUUCGAAAUUGCCAAGAGACUAGAUCUUAUACAUUCUCACCACAAAAAAGCAAUGAUAAUUAUGUGACGUGAUGGGAUGUUAGCUAAAGCUACCGUGGUAAUCACACUGCAAUUUACAAAUGCAUCAAAUCAACACGCUGGACACCUUAAACUUACACAAUGUUACAUGAAAAUUAAAUCUCAAUUUAAAAAAAUCAAGCAUGGGGCUUCCCUGGUGGCGCAGUGGUUGAGAAUCUGCCUGCCAAUGCAGGGGACACGGGUUCGAGCCCUGGUCUGGGAAGAUCCUACAUGCCGCAGAGCAACUGGGCCCGUGAGGCACAACUACUGAGCCUGUGCGUCUGGAGCCUGUGCUCCGCAACAAGAGAGGCCGUGAUAGUGAGAGGCCCGCGCACCGCGAUGAAGAGUGGCCCCCGCUUGCAACCCUCACACAGAAACGAAGACCCAACACAGCCAAAAAUAAAUAAAUAAAUAAAUAUUUAAAAAAAAAAAAAAUCAAGCAUGGCACUCUUUCCACCCAGGCAUGGCAUCAAUCUUUUUUAUCACAGUGCUUUAGGUAUCCAAUGCCAACUUAUUUGUCAUCUCUGGUCUAGGUUAAUAUUUUCUAUAAUCCUGUUUCUGCUAAUGUUAGAUGAUGAGCCCAGGUAAAUCAGUAUAAUUCUAUAAUUUAGUGUAUUUUUAGUUCUUUAAUCCAAUCAACAUUAUCAUUUCUACUGAACAUUGAAAGAAAUAGGCCUGAAGGGGACUAAAAAGUCUAGUCCAGAAUUAGAAGAAGCCACGUAACAGCAACUCUGAUUGAAUUUCUCCCAUGAACAAAAUAAGAUACUAAAUGAUAAAGGAAUUAAUUUUAAAAAAGAAAUUUUAUACACACUGCCUCAUUUGAGCCUCAUAAAAAUCCUGGGAAGUAGCUAGGGUAGGUAUCUACAUCUUACUGAUACUUAAACUAAGGCUUAGAAAGGUUAUUGACUUUCCCAUGGUCACACACCUAGUGGAAACAGAACUAAAAUUCAGGUCUUUUAAUUCCUAUACUGGAUUUAUUGGCAUAUUCAUCUCUUCCACAAAAUUUUACUGAAACCCUUGAACUGAAGCUCCCCGCCUUCAAGAGGCUUAGAGUCUAUGUUCAUAAACAGUUAAGCAUUUAGAAAGUACAUACAAAAUCAGGUGGGGCACGGUAUAAUGAGAGUGGGAUGGGAUUAGUAAAAAAUAUGUGGUCCACAUUGACCCAGAUCUUUGCCCCUUCUCAAACAGAGUGAGAUUGUUUGGGCCUGAUUCCAGGAAUGAAGUCGAAUCCCUGUGCAUCUGGGAUCCAAAGUAGCUGCACAUCCAGGGCCCUUUCCAUUCAAGGCAAAUCGGUCAAACAAGGGAUGGCUGGGCUGUUUAUUAGGAGGUUAUUGGUUUCAACAAACUGUAGGUUCUCAUACAUAAGUGCACUUUGCCGAUACUUUCGCAGUGUAAAGCACAAUAACUUUUCCUAGAAUUGAUGGGUAACAAAGGCGAAAUGAUGUGCACAGGGUUUAGUACUAAGCUAUCUCUUUGUUGGUACAUUAAGAAAUACCCAUUUGCAUCCUUCUUUAUCUUUCAUAUUUCCUUUCAAUCUCUAGCUUGGACAAGAUGCUCCCAAAUCAUCAAGCCCCAAGAAAGCUGCAGAGAUCACUGUGGUCCAUGAGACAUACUUCUGAAAAGUUCUGCUCUGCCUCACACACUGAAUGAAAGAUACUACAUUGUCUUCUCCCUACUAUUAAUCAGUAUGGGCAGAUUCUUGCUAA
RNA transcript from Orcinus orca (killer whale), 5082 nucleotides. RefSeq lists it as uncharacterized. The record is from RefSeq and is a predicted model, not a curated record. The transcript is spliced from 4 exons. Lineage: Eukaryota; Metazoa; Chordata; Mammalia; Artiodactyla; Delphinidae.